UCCUACGGGGCGCAGCAGUGGGGAAUAUUGCACAAUGGGCGCAAGCCUGAUGCAGCCAUGCCGCGUGUGUGAAGAAGGCCUUCGGGUUGUAAAGCACUUUCAGCGAGGAGGAAGGCAGUCGUGUUAAUAGCACGGUUGAUUGACGUUACUCGCAGAAGAAGCACCGGCUAACUCCGUGCCAGCAGCCGCGGUAAUACGGAGGGUGCAAGCGUUAAUCGGAAUUACUGGGCGUAAAGCGCACGCAGGCGGUUUGUUAAGUCAGAUGUGAAAUCCCCGCGCUUAACGUGGGAACUGCAUUUGAAACUGGCAAGCUAGAGUCUUGUAGAGGGGGGUAGAAUUCCAGGUGUAGCGGUGAAAUGCGUAGAGAUCUGGAGGAAUACCGGUGGCGAAGGCGGCCCCCUGGACAAAGACUGACGCUCAGGUGCGAAAGCGUGGGGAGCAAACAGGAUUAGAUACCCCGGUAGC
This 465-nucleotide ribosomal RNA is filed under the name uncultured bacterium. RNAcentral's name for it is "bacterial SSU rRNA". It matches the Rfam family "Bacterial small subunit ribosomal RNA", at positions 337 to 794 of the family's 1533-position model. The record is from RNAcentral.